Molecule: ribosomal RNA, 256 nt
Filed under: uncultured Bolidomonas
Lineage: Eukaryota; Bolidophyceae
Description: partial Eukaryotic small subunit ribosomal RNA
Rfam family: Eukaryotic small subunit ribosomal RNA
Source: RNAcentral
UACCUGCUACGCGGAUACCCGUAGUAAUUCUAGAGCUAAUACAUGCGUAAACACCCAACUCUUGUGGACGGGUGGUAUUUAUUAGAUUGAAACCAAUAUGCUUCGGCAUUUUUGUGGUGAUUCAUAAUAACUUUGCGGAUCGCAUGGCCUCGUGCCGGCGACAGAUCAUUCAAGUUUCUGCCCUAUCAGCUUUGGAUGGUAGGGUAUUGGCCUACCAUGGCUUUAACGGGUAACGGAGAAUUAGGGUUCGAUUCCG